RNAcentral lists this transfer RNA (67 nucleotides) under Phalacridae sp. BMNH 840198. RNAcentral's name for it is "tRNA-Tyr". Lineage: Eukaryota; Metazoa; Arthropoda; Insecta; Coleoptera; Phalacridae. The record is from RNAcentral.
GGUAAAAUGGCUGAUAAUAGGCGAUAAAUUGUAAAUUUAUUUAUGGAAUUUAAUAUUCCUUUUACUA